This 432-nucleotide ribosomal RNA is filed under the name uncultured bacterium. RNAcentral's name for it is "partial 16S ribosomal RNA". It matches the Rfam family "Bacterial small subunit ribosomal RNA", at positions 29 to 506 of the family's 1533-position model. The record is from RNAcentral.
AACGAACGCUGGCGGCAUGCCUAACACAUGCAAGUCGAACGAGACCUUCGGGUCUAGUGGCGCACGGGUGCGUAACGCGUGGGAACCUGCCCUUAGGUUCGGAAUAACUCCCCGAAAGGGGUGCUAAUACCGGAUAAUGUCUUCGGACCAAAGAUUUAUCGCCUUUGGAUGGGCCCGCGUUGGAUUAGCUAGUUGGUAGGGUAAAAGCCUACCAAGGCGACGAUCCAUAGCUGGUCUGAGAGGAUGAUCAGCCACACUGGGACUGAGACACGGCCCAGACUCCUACGGGAGGCAGCAGUGGGGAAUAUUGGACAAUGGGCGAAAGCCAGAUCCAGCAAUGCCGCGUGAGUGAUGAAGGCCUUAGGGUUGUAAAGCUCUUUUACCCGGGAUGAUAAUGACAGUACCGGGAGAAUAAGCUCCGGCUAACUCCGU